UUCUAAAGCUAAAUACUGGCCAGAGACCGAUAGCGCACAAGUAGAGUGAUCGAAAGAUGAAAAGCACUUUGGAAAGAGAGUCAAAUAGCACGUGAAAUUGUUGAAAGGGAAGCGCUUGCAGCCAGACUUGCCUGUAGUUGCUUAUCCGGACUUUUGUCCGGGGCACUCUUCUGCGGGCAGGCCAGCAUCAGUUUGGGC
RNAcentral lists this ribosomal RNA (198 nucleotides) under Ochrocladosporium elatum. RNAcentral's name for it is "partial large subunit ribosomal RNA". It matches the Rfam family "Eukaryotic large subunit ribosomal RNA", at positions 308 to 512 of the family's 3401-position model. Lineage: Eukaryota; Fungi; Ascomycota; Dothideomycetes; Pleosporales. The record is from RNAcentral.